Molecule: long non-coding RNA, 1125 nt
Organism: Bubalus bubalis (water buffalo)
Lineage: Eukaryota; Metazoa; Chordata; Mammalia; Artiodactyla; Bovidae
Exons: 3
Source: RefSeq, a predicted model, not a curated record
CUUAAACAUCCUUGGGAGUAAGAACAGUUAUUUUUGAUGGAUUCAUAUUUCUCUUCUCCAUAAAGACUGAAUUAGUGUUGUAGUGGCUAUAAAUGAAGGGGUUUCUUUAUCCUCUUCUCAUUUUAUUAUUUACUAAUCAGACUUCAGCUCAGAUAGAUGAAAGAGAGAGGCUCAGUUGCCUAGAUGUGAGGCCUUUAAUGAAGAUGAGAGACCCCAGGGAGCCGAAAUCUGAAGUAGAACGAUGCUGCUUUUGGGUUUCUUGUCAUUUCUUCAGUUGCUUCGCCUCCCUUUUCCAAUGGGCCUAGUGAGCAGGAACUAUCCAAGGUGCUAGAACGCUGGCAGCUUUGCCGUUCAAUGCAGACGGAUUGCAGAAACAGAGAAGAAAGAUUACUGCUUAUUUCAGAAGAAUAUAAUCAAAUGAGGCACCUUAGCCAGCCUGGGUGAUUGCUUCGAGUCUUAUAAUCAUCUGUGUAGCAAAGUGGGUAAAAUUAUUCAAUUUCUUCCCUGCUGGACCUGGAAGGCGAGAGGCUGUGUGUUCAUCCCCACCCAUUAGCUAUGCCCUCUUUUCUCUGAAUGUCGAUUUAAGGAAGCAAGCACCUGUCUUCUGCCACUGAAUCUUCCUAGCAAACUUUAAAGGCCAUUUUAUCUGAUAGAAAGAACAUCAAGAAUGCUCUGAUCUCUAGUGAUGAAGAAUCUGGGAGUGGACACUUUUCCCAUCCAGAUCCAAUGCACUUUAAUUGAAGAAAAACUGAGCUGAACUACAAGUCUAUUUCUUAUGGUGCUGGAUGACUCCUACAGAACUGCCCUGAGAUCAGCUGCGAGAGAGGGCUCUGACAGACACAAGUCACCUUCUGAAUAUUGAACUUAGCUGUCCCUGGGGACUUAAAAUUUUGGAAGUGUUCCUUUUCAUAUGAAAUCCUCCAAGAUGAUGAGCUCCAAUCCCGAGGAAGACCCUUUGGACACGUUUCUCCAGUACAUUGAGGAUAUGGGGAUGAAGGCCUAUGAUGGCUUGGUUAUUCAGAAUGCAUCAGACAUUGCUCGAGAGAACGACCGCUUGAGAAACGAGACAAACCUGGCCUACUUGAAAGAGAAGAAUGAAAAACGCCGAAGACAGGAAGAAGCAAU